AAAUGGUGUAUGUUUAAUCCAAAUGCCAAUGACCUUAGCAAGCUUGCAGAUAAUAUAAAUUAUGCUUGCACUUUUUCAGAUUGCACAGCACUCGGAUAUGGCUCCUCUUGUAAUGGCUUGGAUGCUAAUGGGAAUUCUUCAUAUGCAUUCAAUAUGUACUUCCAGGUACAGAAUCAGGACCCCAUGGCCUGUAAUUUUCAAGGUUUGGCCAUGGUUACUUCACAGAAUAUUUCACAAGGGACAUGUAAUUUUAUCAUUCAGAUUGCUUCAGCUUCCUCUCUUGUUCGCUCCUCAUUAUUGGGUUUAGCAUUUGUAACAUUAGUAACAUAUUUAUUGUUAUAGGUUUUUGU
RNAcentral lists this unclassified non-coding RNA (350 nucleotides) under Hevea brasiliensis (rubber tree). The record is from RNAcentral. Lineage: Eukaryota; Viridiplantae; Streptophyta; Magnoliopsida; Malpighiales; Euphorbiaceae.